Molecule: transfer RNA, 66 nt
Filed under: Hellula undalis
Lineage: Eukaryota; Metazoa; Arthropoda; Insecta; Lepidoptera; Crambidae
Description: tRNA-Glu
Source: RNAcentral
AUUUAUAUAGUUUAUUCAAAACGUUACAUUUUCAUUGUAAAAAUAAAAUAUUAAUUUUUAUAAAUA